RNAcentral lists this ribosomal RNA (414 nucleotides) under Vibrio sp. P1-3. RNAcentral describes it as "bacterial SSU rRNA". It matches the Rfam family "Bacterial small subunit ribosomal RNA", at positions 50 to 451 of the family's 1533-position model. Lineage: Bacteria; Pseudomonadati; Pseudomonadota; Gammaproteobacteria; Vibrionales; Vibrionaceae. The record is from RNAcentral.
UACACAUGCAAGUCGAGCGGAAACGAGUUAUCUGAACCUUCGGGGAACGAUAACGGCGUCGAGCGGCGGACGGGUGAGUAAUGCCUGGGAAAUUGCCCUGAUGUGGGGGAUAACUAUUGGAAACGAUAGCUAAUACCGCAUAAUGUCUACGGACCAAAGAGGGGGACCUUCGGGCCUCUCGCUUCAGGAUAUGCCCAGGUGGGAUUAGCUAGUUGGUGAGGUAAUGGCUCACCAAGGCGACGAUCCCUAGCUGGUCUGAGAGGAUGAUCAGCCACACUGGAACUGAGACACGGUCCAGACUCCUACGGGAGGCAGCAGUGGGGAAUAUUGCACAAUGGGCGCAAGCCUGAUGCAGCCAUGCCGCGUGUAUGAAGAAGCCUUCGGGUUGUAAAGUACUUUCAGUCGUGAGGAAGG